UCAGAUGCUGUCAUGGAUAUUUUGGCCUUG
This 30-nucleotide non-coding RNA is filed under the name Rattus norvegicus (Norway rat). Lineage: Eukaryota; Metazoa; Chordata; Mammalia; Rodentia; Muridae. The record is from RNAcentral.